UCCCGUGCGUCGGCCAAGCCUAGAGGCCGCAAGGAGAACCUCCGCCCGGUGUUGGUACUCGCCAUCCGGAGCGCAUGGAGCUGGGCGUCCUCGUUAGUCCGUCACGCCGCAGGUCACCUCUAACCGCCGCCAUGUCGCCUCUUGGUGACCUGGGCUCCCGGCGCCCCUCCCUCCUCGCCUAGAUGCACCGCUCGCCGAUGACCUAAUCCACGGCGUCCGCAUUCCAUCACUGUGGAGCUCACCGCGGAAGGCAAGGAGGAGGAUAUGGUGGUAGCCUUGCCACCGGGAUUAAUUGAGGAUAUCCAAUCUAUUGAUUCCGAACAAAUUACUCAUCAGCUUUCGAUGGAUUGAGCUCCCUCUCAAAUUGAUUGCCGGUAUGGGGAAAUACAAAGGAUUUCGGGCCCUUGGGGAUCGCCGGCAACGAGCGCCCAACUGUGUUGUAAAAGGGAAAGUCGAUGAGGCAAUUGUUGGUGGAGGUGGACAUCACGUUCACAGCAAGCAGCAAGUAACCAGCCCCACUUCAACCCUCCACGUCCAGGUAUUCUUGUUUCAACUUCAUGUCAUAGUUUUUUUAAUGUUUUGUGCUAAGCUGUACUCUAGAAAAUAUACUUUAUCUGGGGCAAACAACAUAGCAAAUGACGCCAUAGACAAAUUCUUCUGGAACGAAAUUCUACAAGUACUUUUUUGGACAAGCUGUAGUUUUGUUAUGUAAUGUAUCUAUUGAGAUUUACAAAAAAUAUUUGAUGGAUAGAUUCUAUUUUAAGGUGUCUAUGGAAAUAAAAAAGGUCCUUAUAUUCUGUAACUUUUUGCUCACAAAGGGUCCAUCUGAUAUGUAAUUUGACACGUAUAUAUGACGUACCUUCAUAUAUAUACAGAUCAGAGUAACAAAAGUAUCAAAUUCAGAAAUGCGGAGGAUGCUCUAUGAUUAGGAAGUGAACCCUUCGUAUCUGAAGCUAAUAUUUCUUUAUUUUCUUACAUAGUGUUGCUGCCCACAUUACAAACCUAGAAUGUAUUUCCAAUGUUGAUGCUCCAGUAUGGCGGCCAGACGCAACAUUCCCUAUUUGUUCUUUCUACCGAGGAUAGGGAUGAAGACAUUGUUGAUCGUCGGUUCACAUACACUCCAAAAUUCUUGAGGAUCCCGUGGAAGUCAAUUGCCAUAGCGUUGUUCCUUCUCUUCCUGGGGAUCUCUCUUGUGUUCUUCCUGUAAUAUCAUGUGUGCAAGGGAUGGGAUGGACGUUUUGGAGAACCUGCAAGACCGUGCAUGUCCCUUGUUGUGAACAAGCUUAGAGAAUUAUUCAGGAUAAUGGCUAGCAAAUCUUUUGGUAACCUAAAGCAUAAUUGUUUUCCAUUCCUUUAUUUCCUGAUUCAUUUUGUUUGGACCAUGUGAUUUCUAGAGACCGGUCUUUCUUCUCUAAAUACAUGUAUAAAUACGCAUGUUUAUUUUAAGGAGAUCAGAUUCAUCUUAUCACUGAAUGUAAGCGAGCUUUUAUGAUUGAAUAUUAUUCUGUGAAUACAGGAAUAUCUUUUUCAUAUAACAUUCGAGAUCCAAAAAUAUUCAAGGAAAGUGCACGAGCAAUUUUUGAAUCAGAAAAUUAAUUCAAUAAAGUAAGCAUAAUCCUUUCCACUAAGCAUUCUUGUAAUUCUAUUAGACACAUUGGGGCGAGUACACAUCUCAAAAGAAUAUAAGAGUCAGAUGAUGGCGCUCGGUGGCGGAGGUGAGCUUGGAUGGGAGAUCUUUGGCAGGCAGUAUACUUGACGGAGCAAAUAAAAAAUAUGGAGUCCUUUCUCACAUUCAAACAUAUACCUCCUACGCCAUGUUGCAAAGCAGGAGAAAUGCAAGUAUGGAAAUGUUGCAAGGAUAUUGCAAUUCCAUCUACCAUGAGUCAAUAUUUUCUAGCAGGAUGAACUUUAUCCUACACGGCUUGAUCUUAUUAUAAUUUGGAAUUUACUAAUAGACAAAUAAUUCUAUGUGGUCCUUCUUUUGCACACUAUCCAUUGAUGUAUCUAAAUUAAAUUAUUUAUUUA
Long non-coding RNA from Lolium perenne, 2025 nucleotides. RefSeq lists it as uncharacterized. The record is from RefSeq and is a predicted model, not a curated record. NCBI's taxonomy places the organism in Eukaryota, Viridiplantae, Streptophyta, Magnoliopsida, Poales, Poaceae.